UACGUAGGGUGCAAGCGUUAAUCGGAAUUACUGGGCGUAAAGCGUGCGCAGGCGGCUUUGCAAGACAGAUGUGAAAUCCCCGGGCUUAACCUGGGAACUGCAUUUGUGACUGCAUGGCUGGAGUGCGGCAGAGGGGGAUGGAAUUCCGCGUGUAGCAGUGAAAUGCGUAGAUAUGCGGAGGAACACCGAUGGCGAAGGCAGCCCCCUGGGCCGACAUUGACGCUCAGGCACGAAAGCGUGGGGAUCAAACAGG
RNAcentral lists this ribosomal RNA (253 nucleotides) under uncultured bacterium. RNAcentral's name for it is "partial 16S ribosomal RNA". It matches the Rfam family "Bacterial small subunit ribosomal RNA", at positions 524 to 776 of the family's 1533-position model. The record is from RNAcentral.